Long non-coding RNA from Brassica rapa (field mustard), 8583 nucleotides. RefSeq lists it as uncharacterized. NCBI's taxonomy places the organism in Eukaryota, Viridiplantae, Streptophyta, Magnoliopsida, Brassicales, Brassicaceae. The record is from RefSeq and is a predicted model, not a curated record.
UAUAAAAAAAAGUACACAUUAUCUCUCAUCCUCUCAAAUGGCUGCAACAAAAAUGCAAUGUUCAUAAUUCUAAAACUCUUCAACCUCUCCCUAAUCUCUUUGAACUUAUAAACACUAAGCUUUAUAUCAAUUUAUUGUUUUUGUCUCAUGUUUUUCUCACUAAUUUAUCUUGUUUUUGCAGGUUUUUAAUCAGAUGGUUCUCAUCUUCCACUCAUUUAAUGGUAGAUCUAUUAAUUUUAGAUAUGUAUUUUUGUGUGUUCUAUAAAGUCAGAUUUAUCUAAUCUUCCACUCAUUUUUCUGUUUUUAAGUUAUUUGAACAUUUUUUUGAUAUGCAGGUUUUCCAGAUCUGGAUUUGAUAUGCAGGUUUUUCAGAACAAGAAAGCAAGAUUUCAGCUUUAGCCGUUCCAAAAAUAUUUUAGUUUCCCGCUAAAAAUAUUAAAGUCUUCUGAGAGACUUUCAAGUAAGUCGUCGAGGAAGUUGUCUUAAUCAAAAAUAUUUAACCUAAUUGAAUUUUUUGUCUCCCUAUAUAAAAAAAAUUUAUACAUUAUCUCUCAUCCUCUCAAAUACCUGCAACAAAAAUGUAAUGUUCAUCAUUCUAAAAUUCUUCAACCUCGCUUUAAUCUCUUUGAACUUAUAAACACUAAGCUUUAUAUCAAUUUAUUGUUUUUGUCUUAUGUCUUUCUCACUAAUUUAUCUUUUUUUUACAGGUUUUUCAUCACAUGGUUCUCAUCUUCCACUUAUUUAAAGGUAGAUCUAUCAAUUUUAGAUAUGCAUUUUUGUGUGUUCUAUAAAGGUAGAUUUAUCUAAUCUUCAACUCAUUUUCUCUGUUUUAAAGCCAUUUAAACGUUUUUGGAUAUGCAGGUUUUCAGAUUUGGAAGACUUCUGGGACGACUUACAUGUUAGUCGUGUAAAAUAUAAUACGCUAGACGACUUCCAGUGAAGUCGUCUAGCGGGGUCUUCUCCCAUGUCUCUCCCUUUCAUAACAGAUUUUGAGCGUUUUGGUAAGUUUUGAUGUCUGUUUUUUCUUCAUUUGGUAACUUUCUGUUGUAUAAAAUUCUUACUCUUUUUCCCAAACUAAAACUCUCCAAACCCACUCUAAUCUCUUUGACUUGAAAACACUAAACUUUAUAUGAAUUUUUCAGUUUUGUCUCAUGUCUUUCUCACUAAUCUAUCAUUUUUUUGUAGGUUUUUAAUCAGAUGGUUCUCAUCUUCCACUCAUUUAAAGGUAGAUCUACUAAUUUUAGAUAUAUAUUUUUGUGUGUUCUAUAAAUGUAGAUUUAUCUAAUCUUCCACUCAUUUUCUCUGUUGUUAAGUCAUUUGAACGUUUUAUGAUAUGCAAGUUUUUCAGAUCUAGAUUUGAUAUGCAGUUUUUUCAGAUCUGGAAAACUUCUGGGAUGACAUACCUGUUAGUCGUUUAAAAUAUAAUGCUCUAGACGACUUCCAGGAAGUCUUCCAGACGACUUCCAAGAAGUCUUCCAGACGACUUCCAAAAAGUCUUCCAGAUAACUUCCUUGAAGUCGUCUGGACCUCCUGGAAGUCGUUUGGACUUCCUGGAAGUCUUCUGACGAAAUCUUCUUCUAUAUCAAGUGGAGUCCAAGCUUGUCUUUGUACAUGAAAGAUCUAUAAUAGUUUUGUUUGUGGUCUGUUUUGUGAUUUGCAUGUCUACUUUUUUAGUUGUGAAUUUCUUGUAAAAUCAGUAAUAAUGUUUCCCAAGAUGUAAUAUAUAUGCUAACAAUGUGUUUACACAUUUACAAAUCAAUGAAAUAAUAGAUUUCAAUAGUCUUUUUCUUAUAUUUGGAUCUCUCAUAUGCAAUAAUAAACUCCAAUGGCCUUCUUCUCAUCUUUAUAAACAAGAAUGUUGGUAGCCUCAUAUUGAUACAACAUUUUAAGAAGCAUUUUAACCUUUCUUCCAACUCAUAACAAUAAUCAUCAUUGAUGUCUAUAACAAUAUUACUUAAAAGAUGGAAACAAACAAUAGUAACUAGUCAAAGCAUAUCACAUUUUUUACAAGUUUGUGUUGAAAAACUUAGUCAAAUUUAGUAAAAGUAAGGGAGAAAACAUAUUUUGAAAAUAUGAGUUUUACAUAUCUUGAAGCUACUUAUCACUCUUAAAAAUACAAGUUGUUCAAAAACUAGCGUAGAAGACUUCCACGGAAGUUUCCCGGAUCAGUUAGAAACUGUAAUUAACGUGAAUGUUGGUAACUUCGUAAAUAUCACCAAUUAAGUUAUAAAUUUCAUUCAGUAGCCCUAAUAUUAACUAAUAUACAUGAAUUAACAAAAAAAUAUUAAAAAGUCUUUAUAGAUUUAGAGAAAAUGAAAGUUUAUUAAACAUUGACGCAGACGAUUUCCACAGAGGUCGUAUGGACGACUUCUAGGAAGUCGUCCAUUUAGGUUAAUUUUGCAAUUGAUUUUUUUCUAGACGACUUACACGUUAGUCGUCCACCUUUGUUUGAUAAUUGAUUUUUUUUCAUGUAAGUCGUCUAGGAAAAACGGGUUAGUUUUGCAUUUGACCGGAAUGUGUCAGAAAUUUGACUUUUCAUGGACGACUUACAAGUUAGUCGUCCAGUAGAAUAUUAAAAAAAAAAUAUUUUGUUUUUUUUCUAGACGACUAACUUGUAAGUCAUCUCAGGUUAGGUUUGCAAUUGAAAUAUUAAACAAAAAAAUUUUUCUAGACGACUUACACUUUAGUCGUCUCGAUUUUUUUUCCUAGACGACUAUAUUGUAAGUUGUCCAAGAUAAGCAAGGUUUGACCAGAAUCUCGGAAUAAAAUCAUGGACAACUUACAUGUAAGUCGUCGGACGGACGACUUCCGUGUAAGUCGUCUAGAAAAAAAAAUCUUUUUUUGUUUAAUAUUUCAAUUACAAAACUAACCUAAGUCGUCUUGAAAAAAAUAAUAUUUUUUUAAUUUUCUACUAGACGACUAACUUGUAAAUCGUCCAGGAAAAGUCAUAUUUUCUUACACAUUCCGGUCAAAUGCAAAACUAACCCGUUUUCCCUAGACGACUUACAUGUAAGUUGUCUCGAUUUUUUUUUAUCAAACAAAGGUGGACGACUACUAACCUAUAAGUCGUCUAGAAAAAAAGUUUAAAACUCAAUUACAAAACUAACAUCUGCAUUGACCAGACGAAUUCCAUGUCAAUCGUCUACAGCCAGAAGACUUACAUGUAAGUCGUCUGGACGAACAGAUCUGGAAAAAAACUCAAUUUCAUAGUUUCAACCAGUGAGAUAACUUGUUUAGCAUACAUAAGUCUUUUCCAAACACCCAUAAUCUCAAACAAAAGUGACCCACCAAGAAUCGUAAGCUUCAAUGGCUUUAUGAACCAUACAAAUUUUAGAAUCAAAAUCUUGGAGUUUUUUGGAUGAAUAUGGAGAAAAAGUGAAAGGGAUGUUGUUUUUAGUUCAUAAGAAUUAAGAAAGAAAGAGUGUAAAUCGAUUUUUAGAUGCAUUAAGAGUUUCAAAUUGGUUGUUCAUGGUGGUUGGUGUAUUGAUGGCAAUUGCAAUAUUGUGAAUACUUGAGGAAGAUGAGGAUGAUAGAGUAAAAUGCAUUUCGAAAAGAAAAAAAAAGUGAUGGCAUUUUCGUAAAUAAUCUUAACUUUGAGGAUGAAAGAGGCAAGUCAAAGUUUCAAAAAAACAUGGGUUAGUUUUGUGUUUGACUUCAAGUUUUGAGUCAUAUUUGCAAAAGCCCCCUUGAUUCUUUUUAAUUUUUUGGUUUGGUCAUCUUGAGGACAUAUUUUGUGAAAUUUUAGUCGUUGAUGUUGAUAUAACAGAUUUUGAUCCCAUUGCUAAUUUUGCUUGCUACAUUUCUUUAUAAAUAUUUCUUUUUAUAUGCAUCCCGUAUAAAUAUAGUGAUAACCAUAUGAAAUUAUUUUUUCACUUUUGCAUAUGGUAAACAAACAAACAAAUGUUUUACAUGGAUCUUUUGUAAAAUAAACAUUUUUAACACCCGAAGGUUACUGGUCAUUAUAAUUCUAGACCGAAUAAAUUAUUAACUGAUGUUUUUCAUACAAGUUUAUAUAUUAUUAUCUCAAAAUAAAAUAAUGAUUUAUCUCAAUGUGAUAAAAAAAAAUCUUAGCAUCAUAUAUAAAUAGCUUUUAAGAACGACAAAAUCAUUGCUUACUAACCACCCAUGGAUGUUGGAACCCCUUUGUUUUAUUAUUUUUUUCUAAGUAAAUUCCAUCAGGUCUAGCAAUCCAUGAACGUUUCUCACCACAUCGAUGCCUCAUGGCUCCUCUGUAAGCGCGCCAUAGUAUUUGAGAAUUUUCCACUUUAUCUCCAUGUCGUAAAAGACAACGCCAUACAAUUCUGUUUCCCAUUCCUCUUUCUUUAAGAAAAAUUUGAUAUUUAUCAUUGAAUUUUAUCUCGUGGAGAUUCUCAACUUCUUUUUUGUUGGAUGAGCAAUUAACUUUGAGAAUACUAGCUGGAUUAAGUUUAUUUUGAAAUUCUAAAGUAUUCAUGAUGCAUUUUUCUUUUCGACAUUGUGGGAGAUGGUAAUUAUCAAUAUUACACACUAUACCUUCAUUCAAACUAAAACACAUAGCAAUAACGAGCAUAAAUAUGAGGUAAUUCAUCAUCUUUUAUCUAAAAUAUUUGUUGGAGAAAGAUGAUUUUACAGACAUUACUGUGGAACAUAUUUAUAGUUUUUGGUAAAAAUUCUAUAAUAUUUUAUUAAAUAUUUGGCUAAAAUAAACACAUAUAUGAACCAAUCAAAUUUGUGGUAGAAAAAGCAUUUGAAGUCGAGAAAUAAGGUGAACCAAAUAAGAUUAGACCCAUUACUUAUGUGGGUUUUAGUAUUGACAGUUAAAAACUAAAACCAAAAGCUAAAAACAAUGCACAUACAAUAUUUAAUCAAGUUAGUUUUCAAAGAAAAAUUUGCAAUCAUUAAUUGUAGAAAAUAAAAUUUUGACCUCACUUUCAAGAACCAUAAUAUAUUGAGCCUUUUUAAUAUUUAAUUCUACAAUAUGUGACCAUUUAUUUAUAUUAAUAUUUAAUCUAAACUAAUAGUAUAUCAAUCAAUGAAAUCUAAUAAUUUCAGCAAGAUCGCAUUAAAUUUCAACUUUGCAUUUUAUUCAAUUUUGGAGCAUUAUGUAUCAUCUAUAACAAUAUAGAUCAAAUAGUUAUACUAAAAGUUUCAUAUAAUUAUUUUGAAUUAAAAUUUGAAAAAAUUAUUUAAUUAGAAAAAAAUUUACACAUCAAUUAAAUAUACAGAAUGGGUGGAGUUAAUUAUAUUCAACCAUAACUAUAUCAUUUACAAAGAAAAUUACCAUCUCUGCCAUAUAAAAAGGGAAAUUAGGCCGUAUGGCUAAGAAAAAAAACAAUAUUUAGCUCUAUAGCCAAAUGUCUUACUAUACAUUGAUGUAGAGUAUAUUUUAUAUAAUAUUACCCUGCUAGCCUUCAACGCAACCGGCGCAAUCUGCAGUUCAAAAAAAAAAUUAUUAAUUACUCAACCAAAAAAUAAUUACGUGUGGUCAUCAGGAAGUCACACACAUCUCCCAAAAGUAACUUCUUCUUCUUCGUCACUUUCCAAGAAGGUGAAAAGUUUCUGCCGAUAUUUGUUGAAUCACGAAAUCAAGCAGCAGAUUCCACCGUAUAUUGCUCUUCCAUCCACCGCGGAACCAUCGUCUUCCAUUCAAACUUGUCAUAGGUUCGUCAAGCGAAUGCGCCGAUUCGAAAUUCGAAGGAGAUUCAGAAGAGUUCGUAAGUGUGAUCGGCAUGAACGACCACCAUAGCCUCAUCUCCUUCAUAUUGGCGAUUAGAUUGAGAUAUGUUGCAAUAUUGUAAGUUCUCUGUUUUGUGCCAUAGAAUAUAUUAUUUCCAUGUUUUUCCCCUUAUUUGGAAUAGAUUCGGCCCUAGUCUAUUCUAAGUUGAUAAAUCUAACCCAUCGUUUCGGUUGCAUGUUCGAUCUAGUAAGCUGAGGCAAACAAAUUGAUUUAGAAUUGAACUUUUCUUGGAUCGUCGUACUUAUUUGUUUACUGCGAAGGGGAUAGUCAUUUUAGAAUGAAAAGUCCUUUUAUGAUAAAACAAGUUUAGUUCUUUGUGAAAUGGAAUAUCUUAUGGAACAUGUGCUAUUUGAAAUGGAAAAUCUUAGUUUUAGAGACUGGUUACGUGCCAUUCCAUUCUCUGCUAUUUCUGAAGAAUCGUAUCAAAACUAAUAUAUUAUUCGUUUUCCAUUCCAUUUGACCUUCAGUUCCUUUCCAUAUAUAUAUAUAUAUAUAUAUAUAUAUUCUAUAUUAUUUCCGAUGGUAUAAUUCUAAUUGCAUAUGUUACUUCUUUACUCGCAUAGGCUAUUUUCGAUUGACACAACUAAACAUUUAACCUAAGCAUAGAGUAAUUCAUAUACUAGUAGCCUAUCUCAUAUGCUGCCAUUUCCUUCCAACUUGUAAACUAAUGUGUGCUUAUUCUUCAUUGUGUUUUUCAGGUUUGUCAAGGAUGAGCUGGAAGGGUAAUAGUAUUUAUAUAUUAUUUUAUGAAAUGGAACAGCUCUUCUCUUACUUGUCAUGUUUAUUAAUAUAUAAUGUACUAUUUAGUAAGUUAUAUUCCAUUCGAUGCUUGAAAGAAAUGGUUCAAUCUUGUUGUUUGUUGUUUCAUGUUCUAUUGAUAUGAGUUUUGUAUCGAUGUAUACAUGUGUUUUAUAUUAGUCUGUAUAUGAUUUUGUAAAGGGAGAAUAAUAUAUUGAACGUAAAUGGAACAUAAUUUAUUAUGACAUCAAAUAAAACAAAAUACAGUGUGAUGUUGAAUGGGAAUGAUAUUCAUAUUAUCUUGUCUCUUCCACCUCUUUUAAUGACAUUAAUCUUUAUUUUUUUUUGCUACAAUCAAUCUGAAUUUGGUGUAAGCAUUACAUCAUUCCCUGUAAUCAUAGACACUUCAAAAUUUUUGACAAUAUAUAUGUAUUGUGCUAUAUCAUUUGUUACAUUUUCUAUUCUAUAUGCUCAUGUAGAAUGAAAAUGCAUGUUACUUGCAUUUCGAAAUUUGGGUUUUCUUGGCCCGGUGAAUAUAGCUUAUUCUGGUGUUUAUCAGUGGUGGUAUACAAUCGGUUUACGUACUAAUGAAGAUCUUUAUACUGGAGCUCUUUUUCUAACUUAUGAAAGAUUGAGGUUCAGAUUGGAUAAAGGUUUAUAUUCCAUGUAGGGUUUAGUGAUUAGGGCUAGAAUUUAGUUUAUGAAAAUUGAGGUUGACAUUGAAUUAGGAUUUAUAUUUCCGUGUAGGGUUUAUAUUUGGGUUUAGGGUUUAUAUUUGGGUUUAAGGUUUAGGGAUUAAAGUUUAGGGUAUAGUAUUUUGUAAGUGGAGGAGGUAAAGAUGGAGUUAGCAUUAACUUCUUCGAUGAUAUCAUAGACAUUUCAUAUUUUCACCAAUAUGUAUUAUGCUAUUUAUUUAAUUUCAAUCUAUUUAGGUUGAGGGCUUAUAUUUGGCUUUAGGGUUUAUAUUUGAGUUAAAGGUAUAAUAAUUAUGGUUUAAGUUUAAGUAUUUAGGAGUUUAUGAUGGGGUUGUUAUAUGGUUUAUUAUUGAAGGGUUCGGAUGGGGUUGGUGUUAUAUACUAUUUUGGUUAGAGGUGGGUGAAGAUUGAACACAAAUGCAUUAGUUCAGAAGAAUAGUCUCCAUUCCAUUUUAGAUAGUAUAAAAUAAUAGGUCAAAUUUUAUAUAUUUUUAUUUUAUUUUAUUUUUAAAAAAUAUUAUAAUUAGAAAUUAGAUUUAAUAUUUGGGUUUUGGUUUAGAGAUUCGAGUUUAAAGUUUAGUAUUUAGGUGUGGAGUUGAGUUUAAGGUUUCUAAUUAUGUUUCAUAUGAAACAAACAUAGUACUUUUAUAAAUGGAAUAAAAUAUUUAUAUAACACAGUUAACAUAUACAUGGUAAGAAAGCAUGCGACGUGGAUAUAUUUGCUUGACUCGUUAGGUAACAGUACACAGUGAAUGUGGUCCAUCUCUUAAAUCAUCGAUGUCAUCUCUCUUUUUGUUUUGACCGAUAACUUGUUUUCAGUAGAGGUAUAACCGGCUUGGGAGAAGACAAAAUGUUAUUCACUCAAUAACGUCAAAAUCAUAGUCAUUUAUCUAAUUAUGCUCUAGAUUUUGGCUAUCUCGCAAAUUUAACCAUAUAAAAAUGGGCAGAUACUCUCAUUAAUUGAUUUUAUAGUCUAAUCUUUUAAAGUAGAUUGAACAAAUUGAUUGACAAUACAAAACACCUCCGGAUUACUUGAGAGAUUUUGGUUUUUUCAUUUGAUACCUCAAUUACUUGGUAAAUUGGAUGCGUGAGAGUUUUUGUUAUUUUCAUUUGAUACCUCAAUCACUUGGUAAAUUGGAUUCAAUGCCACCACGACGCCUAUUUCUUGUAGAGAAUUAUGUUAAUAAAAGACAUUUAAUCUAAUUUAUCGUGCAGUUGCCAUAAAACUAACUUUUGCUACUUUGACAUUUUCUACUUUUUCAUUGUCUAAGAAAUUCAAAUCAAUUAAUUGAAAAGCCAAAAAUAUGGGAAAAUAAAAAAAAUGUGAUAUUAACAUAUAUAUACACUAAUAAACAAAUUUGUGGUGAAAUUAUUAUCGAAAUAACAAUUUCAAAACUGGUCAACAAGUGUCAGUUAACCCAAUCUACCAUAUAU